CUUUUACAUUCACCUAAGAAGUGAAAAAAUCUCCAGUUUAAUCCCAGCUGGAGACAAAAAUCCCUUGGGGGUGUCAGGAACGGAAAUCCACUGUGAAUAAGGAGAGCAGCUGAAUAAAGCUUUUAUGCUGGAGCCCUCAUGGUCACUAUAUUCAAACACUUUUCACCACAAUCAUAAAACAUCAAAUGAGGAAUUGUCCAUAAAGUCCUGAGUGCUUAACAAGAAGUUGCAAGUUCUUCACUGGAAAUACACCUACUGGUUUGUUGGGGGCAGAUGAUUAGUGCCCAGACUUUCAGAAACAAAUAACCAAACACAGAAAACAUAACAAACCACAAAUGUCUGCCAGGGUUUCAGCACUGAGCUGGGAAACAUCUUGUUAUUUAUGCGAGCUGAGCCUAUUUGAAUAAGAAAAAUACUGCUUCUUUCACAAUAUACCAAAUCUUUUCAUUUCUUUUGCCUGAGUCACUGAGAAAUUUUCUUCACUCCGCAGCCCACCAACUUCACGAACCCAGUGUAUGCCACCCUGUACAUGGGUGCCCACAACAGCCGCAAUUCUCUGGCGAGCACUGAUGAAAAGAAGGAGCUCCUCUCCCAGGUUGACGAGGACAUGAGCGACCCCCUGGCAUAGACCUCGGCAUGGACUGAACUCUGCCAACAUUGCCCUGCCUCGCCCAACCUAGAGCCAGCGAGCUCUCUCAUUUUAUGCCUUUACCAACUGAAAAGAAAAGCAACAAAAAAACAUAAAAACGAGAACACUGUAUAAAAUGUAUAAAAUGAAGAACUACUUUUUUUAAGUGAUUGCAGUAUUAUAUUUUGUUCUUUGACAAAAAGGAAAACAAAUCCUCUGGUGACGGAAAAGAAACCAUUUUAUAGACAUUUUAUCCAGUUCUUUUUCAUUUUGCUCACUUCCUCACAACUUCUCUCUCUCUCUCUCUCUCACACACACACACACACACACACACACACACACACACACACACACACACACACACACACACACACACACACGACCCUUCUGAAAGCAGCAUAAGUAGAGCUUAUCCUACUUGGAAAGCCUUGAUCUGAUCUGAUCUGAUCUGGCACCUACCUCUGAUCUCUGUUCACCCUAUGGGUCAAUCACACACUCACACACACACUUACUCGCUCUUCACCAGGGCACUGUGUGGUUUCUUGGCCAGCAUGUGAAUCAAAUGACAGGUGGAAAAGGUGCUGGGAGAGCAGGAGGUGCAGCCCUCUGAUCAGGGUGUGGCUCUGGCAGGACUCAUUGGCCCAGCAGUCCUCUAAUUUAGAGACACCAACAGGACACCAAGAGCUUCAAAAGAACUGUAGGUACUAUAUGUGCAGUGAUCAUAAUACUUAUUCAUUCUGAACCAAGUAGCAUUUUUACACUCACACACAUUUACUAGAACAAAAGCAGGUCAGAACUGAAUUACUUUGAUGCAAUAGUAUUAGAAACAUCUAGAAAAGCUAAACUAUUAUUUGAUUUUACUCAAUUCACGUUUCUAGGCAGCAAAUAAGAGGUUGGCUAGCUCAGUUUAUGGGGGUCUCUGUCAAACAAGUUCUUCACAGGCUCAACCGUACUGUAUGCCUAAUGUGGACUAAUCUCAUACAAUCUUGUCAGUGCUCUUAAUGCUCCUUUAGCAUAACGCCUGCUGUUGAGACAUCAGAAGUCAUAAUAUACAGUCAUCUUCUUUAUAGUGAAGUAAAACUGAGUGAUAAACAGUCAAAACUCUCCACUGUAGUCACACUAUAUGUAUUUGUGCAACUUUUUUUCAUUGCACUUAGUCUGCUAGGCAGCUAGUUUCUGUGUUGGAUGGAUUCUUAUUUAUCAUAGACUGCAUAUAAAACAUGGUCAUACUCGCUACAUUUAGAAGCCUGAAUUUAGGAAUAUAACCGCUGCUGUAGUUUUUGGUACUUUUUUGGAGUCAGAAGUUAGCCCUACUGUAUUUGGAUACAAGGUGCAGAGUGUGCUAAUGCUUGCAAGCUUGGUUAGCUUGCAACUGUUAGCAAGGGGGCUUUGCUCAUGUGCUUUCAUGUCAAAAAGUCAUCAUAAAUAAGUCUCCAAUAACACCAGAAAAAGUCGCCAGAUUUGUCGCUAGUCGCUUUUUAGAAAAAAAGUUGCUAAGGGGGUCUGAAAACUCGCUAAAUAUAGCGACAAAGUCUUUAAGUUGGCAACACUGGGUAGCACCCAUGUGGUGGAAAGGUCAGGUUCAGUGAUUUUAAAGUAUGGGGAGUGAGGGCUCCCCCUCCCCCUAAAGUAACCAGUCACACACAUCUAAAUGUAUUUUCUUGUACCUAUAAACAUGAUCAUAAUGUUUUUCUUGCUAUUUUAACACUGGUGUGUAUGUGACCGACUUACUUUUGGUGCCAGCCACUAGAGAAACUCCCGUUUUUGGCACUUGUGCUUCAUUUUUCAGCCUCCGUAGUUUCUCCAUGGAUAUGUCUCCAAGUCCCUGGUGGCUGGCUGCAGUAUAGGUCAAACCCUUGCCCUGCCCCCCAAAAUAAAAGUCUGUCUCAAAAAAACCCACAUGAAAUAUGUCUUCAGUUGUACAAAGUACUUUUUUAUUUUUACUUCUGAAAAUCAGUGUUCCUUUUGUAUGUAUUGUACUGUAUGAAAACCUUCCCCUCACACCCCCCUGUUUGUCUUUGUAAUUUAUGCUUGUAGUUUCACAGAAAGAUUACUACCCUUUGAAAAUAGGACGUUUCAAACUGGAUUGACACAAUAAAAACAUACAAUGACUCGUGUCACGCAC
Astatotilapia calliptera (eastern happy) is the source of this 2753-nucleotide long non-coding RNA. Lineage: Eukaryota; Metazoa; Chordata; Actinopteri; Cichliformes; Cichlidae. The record is from Ensembl.